RNAcentral lists this long non-coding RNA (2192 nucleotides) under Malus domestica (apple). RNAcentral describes it as "long non-coding RNA (MDOM_LNC010261)". The record is from RNAcentral. Lineage: Eukaryota; Viridiplantae; Streptophyta; Magnoliopsida; Rosales; Rosaceae.
AAAUUUCGGCAUAACCUCCCUAUAAUUAAAACAUAUCCCAAAACCCUGAAAAUAACAUAAACAAUAUAUGUAUCCAACUAAAUGAUCACAACUGUUUAAUAAUAGGUUCAUAACGAUGACAUCAAUAAACAAUAUAUAUAAUAACUGUUUAAUCCUUAAAUGACAUAACUUAACAUACUGAACCUAAAAUAACAAAACUAAGUUAACCAAAUUCUUAUCAUAUUUCAUAUUUGGUAUUCCUUAUAAGUUAACAAAAAUAUAUAUGAUACUUAGAGCUGAUUCACUUGGGCAACAGCUGCCUUAUGUAGGCCUCGAAAUAUAAACACAAACAUAUCCUUCAACAUGCCUAAUUCAGUGGCAUGUCACUCACACCAACCCCAUAAAAGCAUCUUGACCUAUAUGCAUUUCAUUAAAGGAGGAACACUUACCUAUAUGCAUUUCAUUCAAGGAGAAACAAAAACAUUCCCAAAUAAUAUCACUGACAUAUUUAAUAAAGUCCCAAAAGCUUACAAAUUUGAGGAAGCAUAACCACGCCAUAUCUAUCACUUUCAUAUGCAAUCCAACAAAAUUUCUCUUCGAUAAAUUAUAGACGAAACUCAGGUAAGUCAAUACAAGGUCAUUGUUUGUCCUAAUAAACCCACAUUCUCUACCUGCCUUAUAUAAUAAACAUGUAUAUAUACACACAUAUUAACAAACAACAUCAACAUCAAUCCAAAUCAAAAAACAAAUCCACCAAACUUGCUCAUCCAACAUAAAAUCAACUAAUUAAUCCAUACAGUACCAACAGAUUCCAGUAAAUUGUGCCUUCAUAUCAAAGUACCCAAAAAUCAACUAAUUAAUCCGUAAAUUCACAACGCACAGUUCAUAAUUUAACUAAUUAAUCCCAUAAUUCUUCACCCAUGUAACAAAAUUAUGUGGAUUGGGUGGGAUUGAUAGGACCACCAAAUCCCCUAAAAUAUGAAAAAUUGUAAUCCCUAAUCCCCAAAUUGUAAACCCUAAUCCCCAAAUUGUAAACCCUAAAAUCUGAAAAAUUGUAAACACUAAUCCCCAAAUUGUAAACUCUAAUCCACAAAUUGUAAACCCUAAAAUCUGAAAAAUUGGAAACCCUAAUUCUCUAACCUAAUAGUCUAUAAAUUGGAACCCCUAAUUCCCCAAACGAAAAUUGAAAUAAAUUAAUAAAAUUGGAAAUAUUUACCAUGUUAGCAACUAGAGGGGGAGAAGGGGAGAGGGUGAGAGGCCGAGAGGUAGGGUGAGGGUGAGAGGUCGAGAAGUGGGGUGAGGGUGAGAGGCAGAAAGGUAGGGUGAAGGUGUGUCGGAGGAGGAAGAGAGACUGCGAGGGGGCGAGAGGGGGAGAGGGUGACAUAGAGGGAGGGUGUGUCGGAGGGAGUUUACCAAAGACGAAGAGGUGAGGGGAAAAGUGUGUGCAAUUUCAGUUUAAUCCUGACUUUCUUGCGCGACAAAUAUAAGAUAUUCAUCGAGCAAAAGAUUCAAAUUUUAACGAAAUAAUUUUCAUGCACGCCAAAAAGUCAAAAUUUUCAACUCCUUUAGCGACAAAACAAAAACUAAUCGUCGCGCAAAUAAUAGUUGUGCGAUGAAGGGUUCUUGGUCGUCGCUCUAGGAGCUAAAAAUUUAUGUUUGAACUUAUAUUUUCAAAAAAAACAUAAACAAUUUUUUUAUAACAUAAGAUAAAUAAAUUACAAAAGAAAUCAUUUAAUAUGUUUUACAUAGCAAGUAAAAAAUAAUUGCAUUAUUCAUCAUCCGAACUGUAAUAACUUUUGCUAUCUUCAUGAUAGGAUUUUUACUACUCAUGUGAACGGGCUUAAAUCUCCUAUUUUACUUGCAAGAAUCACAAGGUUAUUGUAGUAUAAACGGACCUCGCAAGGUCGUCUCCACAGGGACUAUUAAAUAAUUCGAAACUAAUCAGAUUCCAUUUAAUUAUUGUAAAGUAGAAAUUGAAGUGAUUGAUUUUAUAACCUAAUUAAAAUAAAAACGAAAUUAAUGAAUUAAAAUAAACAAUCUGCAAUAUUAGAGCUAGAGAGAAAAUAAAACAGUUUUGGGAGAAUAAAAUUAAGAAAGCACUAAGGUUCCACCAUCACCUAGCAAUCCUAUGAAUUUUUACCCAUUACUUAUGAUCUAUACAUGCCACUUUGAAGGUUAGAUUUUCCUAAUUCAUAUUCUACUUGGAACCUCCA